AUGAGAGAUUUUAAAUCACAAUGGACGUUCGAGGAGCAUGACUGCCAGCACUGUGAGCAGCAGGGCUGUCUCCAGCCGUCGACAGGGAUGCCGGCUUCAUCUUCCACAGCCCGCAGGCAGUUCCAGGCACCCCUUCUUGCUGGCAAAAUGGAAAAUAGAAAACCAUCUUGGACAACCAGCUAUAGCGCGUACCAACAAAUAAAAAGAAGACAUUCUGGAGUUCCCGCUGUGACACGGGGGGUUAGGACCCUGAUUACAGAUGCCUGGGUUGCUGUGGAGGCAUGGGUUGAAUUGCCGGCCCAGGGCAGUGGCUUAAAGGAUCUGUCACUGCCACAGGCGCAGCGUAGAUCACAGCUGUGGCUCAGAUUCAAUCCCUGGCUUGGGAACGUCCAUAGGCCACAGAUGUGGCCACCAAAAAAAAAAAAAAAAAAAAAAAAAAAAAGCUGCCCAAGAAUCCCCAAGAUCCCCAUUGCAGAACUGUUCAGACCACACACUGUUCUGGUGAAGAGUACAGCCUGGAGUCAGGGCGCCUGGAUGUGAACCCUGGUUCUGAUACUUAGCUGUAGAUGUUGGGCAAGUUACUUAGCUUUUUAGCGCUCCAGUUUCUUCAUCAGUAAGGUAGGAAUAGUAACAGUACCCACCUGAUACAGUUGUCAUGCAUCACUUCUUCUCUCCAAGUUUAAAAAUACCUUUCAAAAGAAACAAGGAGGAAAUUAACUUGCUAAGAUUAUAUACCUUGUAGCAGUUAAAAAAAAAAAAAAAUCCCCAGAGAAGUUAAAUCAUCCAAAAUGAGGUUGGGAGAGGGAAGACGUGGAGGGGAAGACACUGAUGAAAAACUCUGGCUCCCGUCCUUCAGAAGAGGGUGAACUCUUGAGGGAACAGCACUGUGAGGAGGAAACUAGCAAAACACAGAGGAGGAAAGACCAUUAUGAAAGAAUAUUCAAAGUACUUUUAGGAAAUUCUCUGGAGGGAAGUAGGAAGGCAAGCGUCCUAUCUCAUGGUGAGGCAGAAAGAGAACUAGAGCAAUCAGAGAAUGCAGUUUUAUUUCUAAAUCUGACACUGGUGUCACCUUGGUCAACUGACCUCACCUGCCUCAGCCUCAUUUGCCUUAAAACAAAAUUAUCUCCAUGCACUCUACUCUCUUCAGCUCUCAAAAUCUUUGAUUCUAGCAAUCAGUACUCUAGUUCAGGAGAUCUGAUACUCACGGGCCCUUCCAUGAAGACACAUGAAAGUCUAUAGCAGGCAAAGCCCCUCCAUCAAUGAGGCAAAUCAAGGGAAUCCUAGAAGGCUGGUUGUGGAAUUGGGUUCUGAGGGCUCUGCUCUCUAGGGAACAAUUUGGCUUAGUUGUCUCUUUCAAAGUCAUGGAAUCACAGGAUUGCCCAAACUGGAAAGUACCCUGCACCCUCAUUCUGCAGGUUCAGAAAAGUCAAAUGACCUGGCCAAGGUCAUCCAGCAGAAUAUGGCAGAGCCAGGACUAGAGCUUGCCCACUGCCUCUGCUGUCUGUAAAUGCAGGGGCUCAAGGGCUAGAACACAGCAAGUGUGCCCUUACAUAUGACUUUUAAUUGAACAGUGUCUUGGACACAAGCAGGGCUGGGGCUAGGGUAAGGUAAAUGGGGCACUGGUGUCAGGAGCAAAAUUAAAGGCGGAGCAUAAAAAAACUCAGCAUUAAAACACAGUAUCUUUAAUGCACUACUAAAAAUUAAAAAUCCAUGAACAAAAUACACAAUAUAACAUUUUUAAAUAAAGACAGAAUUGGGGAGUUUCUGUCGUGGCUC
RNAcentral lists this long non-coding RNA (1776 nucleotides) under Sus scrofa (pig). RNAcentral's name for it is "lncRNA (ENSSSCG00055013092.1)". Lineage: Eukaryota; Metazoa; Chordata; Mammalia; Artiodactyla; Suidae. The record is from RNAcentral.